This 82-nucleotide transfer RNA is filed under the name Halospina denitrificans. Its description in RNAcentral is "tRNA-Leu". It matches the Rfam family "tRNA". From Rfam's summary of the family: Transfer RNA (tRNA) molecules are approximately 80 nucleotides in length. Their secondary structure includes four short double-helical elements and three loops (D, anti-codon, and T loops). Lineage: Bacteria; Pseudomonadati; Pseudomonadota; Gammaproteobacteria. The record is from RNAcentral.
GCCGAGGUGGUGAAACCGGUAAACACGCCUGACUCAAAAUCAGGUGGCGAAAGCCUUGUGGGUUCGAGUCCCACCCUCGGCA